GGAGAGGUGGCUGAGUGGUCGAAAGCGCUCGCCUGGAGAGCGGGUAUCGGGUCACAAGCUCGAUCGUGGGUUCAAAUCCCACCCUCUCCGCCA
RNAcentral lists this transfer RNA (93 nucleotides) under Candidatus Wallbacteria bacterium. Its description in RNAcentral is "tRNA-Ser". It matches the Rfam family "tRNA". From Rfam's summary of the family: Transfer RNA (tRNA) molecules are approximately 80 nucleotides in length. The record is from RNAcentral. Lineage: Bacteria; Candidatus Walliibacteriota.